GUCCACACCGUAAACGUUGGGCGCUAGGUGUGGGAUCCUUAUCCCGGGUUCCGUGCCGCAGCUAACGCAUUAAGCGCCCCGCCUGGGGAGUACGGCCGCAAGGCUAAAACUCAAAGGAAUUGACGGGGGCCCGCACAAGCGGCGGAGCAUGCGGAUUAAUUCGAUGCAACGCGAAGAACCUUACCUGGGUUUGACAUGGAGAGUUAACCAUCAGAGAUGGUGGGUCCGUAAGGGUUCUCUGCAGGUGGUGCAUGGCUGUCGU
This 262-nucleotide ribosomal RNA is filed under the name uncultured bacterium. RNAcentral's name for it is "partial 16S ribosomal RNA". It matches the Rfam family "Bacterial small subunit ribosomal RNA", at positions 793 to 1055 of the family's 1533-position model. The record is from RNAcentral.